This 341-nucleotide ribosomal RNA is filed under the name uncultured Pelotomaculum sp. RNAcentral's name for it is "bacterial SSU rRNA". It matches the Rfam family "Bacterial small subunit ribosomal RNA", at positions 898 to 1236 of the family's 1533-position model. Lineage: Bacteria; Bacillati; Bacillota; Clostridia; Eubacteriales; Desulfotomaculaceae. The record is from RNAcentral.
AACUUAAAUGAAUUGACGGGGGCCCGCACAAGCGGUGGAGCAUGUGGUUUAAUUCGACGCAACGCGAAGAACCUUACCAGGGCUUGACAUCCCCUGACCGCGUAUGAAAGUACGUUUUCACCCUCGGGUGACAGGGAGACAGGUGGUGCAUGGUUGUCGUCAGCUCGUGUCGUGAGAUGUUGGGUUAAGUCCCGCAACGAGCGCAACCCCUACGUUUAGUUGCUAACGCGUGAAGGCGAGCACUCUAGACGAACUGCCGUUGACAAAACGGAGGAAGGUGGGGAUGACGUCAAAUCAUCAUGCCCCUUAUGUUCUGGGCUACACACGUGCUACAAUGGCCG